Non-coding RNA from Paramuricea clavata, 1310 nucleotides. NCBI's taxonomy places the organism in Eukaryota, Metazoa, Cnidaria, Anthozoa, Malacalcyonacea, Plexauridae. The record is from the annotation of a GenBank genome assembly.
UAUGACCAUUAUUAUGCUCAAAUGUAAUUAUUGUCUCAUUUUUAUCCUUUUUGUAGUGUAAACUUAAGUAUAAAAAUAAAGAUCUAUGAAUAUGUCAGACAAAUCAUAUACAAUGGGUGAUCACUUGGUAAGUAAUUUGUUUUAUACCUUUGUUGUGGUCUGUGUAGAUUGAGGCUAUUUUGGCAAUUAGCCAUGCACUUAGACAUAGCAUGACCAGUGUGGACUGCCUAUGCCUUAUUAAACAUGAUUGAAUACCCAAAAUAGAUUCAAGAUUAUGAUAUAUGUCUCAGGCAUGGACCAAAAAAUGACCAUGUACUGAAGAAAUAUGGCAUGACCCAUGUAAAAUAUGGUGGAAAACAUACAAUUGGGGCUGCAUCCCACCAUAAUGCACUAGUCAAUUGAAACCCCGACCCCCGGGAUAGGGCGGGGAAAUUAACAUUUUGACAAUGUUAAAUUUUGGUAAUUUCCCUGCUACCGGGGGAAUGUUGACUGUUAAAGUUACCGCCCCUAUGGCUCCGGCACUUUGCAAAUUUUCAUGACUUGGGAAUUGUCCCAGCUAAUAAAUUGACUUGUUAUUUACCCUGUACCCCGGGGGAAAUGCUGCAUUAAGACCGUGUUAAUCCACGGCCAUUCCCCCGUUAAUUCCCUGCCCUGUCCCAGGGGUCGGGGGACCGGGGUUUCAAUUGACUAGUGCAUGCAUAAACAUUGCAAAGGUCCAUUUUGUUAAUUAAUGGCACUAUAUGUAUUUAAUCUUAAUUUAUAGGGCCUGUGAGUUCAUAUCUGGAAUAAAAUAAUGGCAGAUCUACAGAAAUAUCACUGCUAAGGAGUGUCAAACAAGUUCAGGAGGACUGAAUUAACUGCAUGUUCUCUGGAUGAAAAAGAAAUUGUUGACUUUAAUUGAAUAAUCAUUAUCAUUAAUGUAAGGUUAAAAAUAUUGAACUUUCAAAAGGAUGCAGACAGAAAAUUGAAAGUAGGGCCUGAAUUUCAGGUUAAGUGAUCCAGGAAUGGGGUUGGCCCUCUGCAGGCUAAAUCAAUUGAGGGAGAUCCCUUUAUUUCAAGUUAAAUGAUUAUUUGAAUAAGAUGCCAUUCAGGCAAUAAGGGCCUGGUUAGGUCCAUAUUUUAAUUCAAAUUAUUAAGUACUCGAUUUAUCCAUCAACAAAACCCAACAUUAAAAUUUCCAUCGAGUGAGAUGCAACAAAACCAUCUAUAGUUUAUUAAUUAUGUUAACCUAAUCCAUCAAUUGGCAAUGAGCCUACUUUAGUAUUUUAUAUACUCUAUCUCUAAUUUGCCCAUUAUAUUUAUAAACUGAC